This 335-nucleotide ribosomal RNA is filed under the name uncultured bacterium. RNAcentral's name for it is "bacterial SSU rRNA". It matches the Rfam family "Bacterial small subunit ribosomal RNA", at positions 28 to 365 of the family's 1533-position model. The record is from RNAcentral.
GACGAACGCUGGCGGCGUGCUUAACACAUGCAAGUCGAGCGGUAAGGCCCUUUCGGGGGUACACGAGCGGCGAACUGGUGAGUAACACGUGGGUGACCUGCCCUCAGCUCUGGGAUAAGCCUGGGAAACUGGGUCUAAUACCGGNUAUGACUCCAUGACGCAUGUUGUGGGGUGGAAAGCCUUGUGCGGCUGAGGAUGGGCCCGCGGCCUAUCAGCUUGUUGGNGGGUGAUGGCCUACCAAGGCGACGACGGGUAGCCGGCCUGAGAGGGCGACCGGCCACACUGGGACUGAGACACGGCCCAGACUCCUACGGGAGGCAGCAGUGGGGAAUCUU